UACGUAGGUGGCAAGCGUUAUCCGGAUUUACUGGGUGUAAAGGGCGUGUAGGCGGGAAAGCAAGUCAGAUGUGAAAACCAUGGGCUCAACCUAUGGCCUGCAUUUGAAACUGUUUUUCUUGAGUACUGGAGAGGCAGACGGAAUUCCUAGUGUAGCGGUGAAAUGCGUAGAUAUUAGGAGGAACACCAGUGGCGAAGGCGGUCUGCUGGACAGCAACUGACGCUGAGGCGCGAAAGCGUGGGGAGCAAACAGG
This 253-nucleotide ribosomal RNA is filed under the name uncultured bacterium. RNAcentral's name for it is "partial 16S ribosomal RNA". It matches the Rfam family "Bacterial small subunit ribosomal RNA", at positions 524 to 776 of the family's 1533-position model. The record is from RNAcentral.